Molecule: ribosomal RNA, 337 nt
Filed under: uncultured Ochrobactrum sp.
Lineage: Bacteria; Pseudomonadati; Pseudomonadota; Alphaproteobacteria; Hyphomicrobiales; Brucellaceae
Description: bacterial SSU rRNA
Rfam family: Bacterial small subunit ribosomal RNA
Source: RNAcentral
UACGGGAGGCAGCAGUGGGGAAUAUUGGACAAUGGGCGCAAGCAUGUUCCAGUCAUGGCGCGUGAGUGAUGAAGGCCGUAAGGAAGUAAAGCUCUUUCACCGGAGAAGAUAAUGACGGUAUCCGGAGAAGAAGCCCCGGCUAAUUUCGUGCCAGCAGCCGCGGUAAUACGAAGGGGGCUAGCGUUAUUCGGAUUUACUGGGCGUAAAGCGCUCGCAGGCGGUCUUUUAAGUCAGGGGUGAAAUCCCAGAGCUCAACUUUGGAAUUGCAUUUGAUACUGGAAGUCUAGAGUAUGGCAGAGGUGAGUGGAAUUCCGAGUGUAGAGGUGAAAUUCGUAGA